UCUCACUUUGCCGUUCUUACCACACGCGCCGAUCUAUUCAACGACCGUAGGCUCACGCCUGUGGAGUUAUCAUAUCGUCCGACACUUCGGUGGUAGCAGUCCUCACAAAUAUAAAGAAUGUUUGAUGAAUGUUUUUUUACUAUAGUAACAUUCUAGUGGUGAUGUUUGGAGGAGAAGUAUGAUGGUAUGAAAGUGCUUAAUGUUUAAUAUGGAAUUGUUAACUGUGGUUCCCAGAAGCAAUCUUGAACACUUAUACCAGUAUUUUAAACAGCUUUGUUGUGUUUGGCAAUAUUAUGGAAUCAAAUUCUACAUAUUUCAGCAUGAUAUGAAUAUUGUUUAUAUAGUUAAUAUUGUAAAUAGUUUGACGGAGACAAAAAUUCCAAAAUUGGAAAAGUUAUUCCCAAAGGCUUAAUCACAAUAUUUUAAUGUUAGAGUCCAAAUGCAACCUGAAUCAAUAGUUGCCGGAGAUAACUAAGUCCUUGUUUCAUUCAGGUCAUAAUUUAAUGUUAUAACAAUUGAAUUUCAUAAUUUCUAUGCCAUUUGGCACUUUUUUGUAUACUUCUAAUUAUAAAAUAACUGUUACUCAAUCUAAGUGAAUUUUCAAAAUAUAAUAAAUGUUUUCUAAAG
Molecule: long non-coding RNA, 627 nt
Filed under: Androctonus crassicauda
Lineage: Eukaryota; Metazoa; Arthropoda; Arachnida; Scorpiones; Buthidae
Source: RNAcentral